UAUUUUGAGUGCCCGAAUUGUAAUCUGUAGAGGAGUAUUCGAGUGUAGCUUUGGCUUAAGUUCCUUGGAACAGGACGUCAUAGAGGGUGAGAACCCCGUUUACGGCCUUUGACUUAUGCUUAUGUGANUCUUCUUCAACGAGUCGAGUUGUUUGGGAAUGCAGCUCUAAAUUGGUGGUAAAUUCCAUCUAAAGCUAAAUACUGGCAAGAGACCGAUAGCGCACAAGUAGAGUGAUCGAAAGAUGAAAAGAACUCUGAACAGAGAGUCAAAUAGUACGUGAAAUUGUUGAAAGGGAAGCACUUGUUACCAGACAUGCCUUCAGUCAAUCAACCUUCAUUUUUGAUGGUGCACUUGGCUGUCGGUGGGUCAGCAUCAGUUACAACAGUGGGAUAAAGGCUGUGGGAAUGUGACUUCCUUCGGGGAGUGUUAUAGCCCAUAGUGUAAUACCAAUCGUUGUGACUGAGGCCUGCGCUUCGGUGAGGAUGCUGGCAUAAUGGUCAUAAGUGACCCGUCUUGAAACACGGACCAAGGAGUCUAACAUCUAUGCGAGUGUUUGGGUGUUAAAACCCUUACGCGGAAUGAAAGUAAAUGGAGGUGGGAACCGCAAGGUGCACCAUCGACCGAUCCUGAUGUCUUCGGAUGGAUUUGAGUAGUAGCAUAGCUGUUGGGACCCGAAAGAUGGUGAACUAUGCCUGAAUAGGGUGAAGCCAGAGGAAACUCUGGUGGAGGCUCGCAGCGGUUCUGACGUGCAAAUCGAUCGUCAAAUUUGGGUAUAGGGGCGAAAGACUAAUCGAACC
Molecule: ribosomal RNA, 797 nt
Filed under: Sarcosphaera pacifica
Lineage: Eukaryota; Fungi; Ascomycota; Pezizomycetes; Pezizales; Pezizaceae
Description: Sarcosphaera sp. JB-2024b partial large subunit ribosomal RNA
Rfam family: Eukaryotic large subunit ribosomal RNA
Source: RNAcentral